AAUUAAUAUAAGCUUUUAUAGUAUAUGUCUUGAAAACAUAAGAAAGAAGUAAAAUCUUCUAUUAAUUU
This 68-nucleotide transfer RNA is filed under the name Haemagogus albomaculatus. RNAcentral describes it as "tRNA-Ser". It matches the Rfam family "tRNA". From Rfam's summary of the family: Transfer RNA (tRNA) molecules are approximately 80 nucleotides in length. Their secondary structure includes four short double-helical elements and three loops (D, anti-codon, and T loops). Lineage: Eukaryota; Metazoa; Arthropoda; Insecta; Diptera; Culicidae. The record is from RNAcentral.